Molecule: non-coding RNA, 92 nt
Organism: Mycena haematopus
Lineage: Eukaryota; Fungi; Basidiomycota; Agaricomycetes; Agaricales; Mycenaceae
Source: the annotation of a GenBank genome assembly
GUGCCAUUGGUGUAAAGGUAACACGCGUCCAGCUUGUCUUUGUGAUCAAUUGUAAGUUGGACGAUUCUGGGGUUCGAGUCCCUGAUGGUGCA